This 119-nucleotide ribosomal RNA is filed under the name Pteropus alecto (black flying fox). The record is from RNAcentral. Lineage: Eukaryota; Metazoa; Chordata; Mammalia; Chiroptera; Pteropodidae.
GUCUUUGACUAUGCCACUCUGAACAAGCCCAAUCCCGUCUGAUCUCGGAAGCUAAGCAGGGUUGGGCCUGGUUAGUACUUGGAUGGGAGACCACCUAGGAAGACCAGGUGCUGUAGGCA